CUCCGAAUCAAAUCAAAGACAUAUACUAUGCCUUUCCAGACAUUAUUUAUACUAGAUCAAUAGCCAAAGCUAUUGUGUGAACAUAUACUAUACAGGCCUAGGCUAGGCAACGAUUUUUAACAAACAGGAGAGUGGCAUCGUAGCCUUGAGGAAGGAGAUCGCUUGUGGACGUUGGGUGAUUUUUGUGCCAAGCGCAGCCUCCGCCAGCCACACCCUCACGUGCGUGCAACUGUGCGGGACUCUAUUUCUCACCAGAGCGGUCUGUACGCUUGGCCAUGCGUGCUUGUCUGUCGCGAGCACCCGCAGCAUCAGCAACACAAAGAGGGUCGAUGAGCUGUUAGAUUGGAGAUACAAGGCGCCGCCGGCAACUUCAAGGCCGAUUUGCGGGGGAAACGAGAUCACUUAUAAGACAAGGUGUGCCGUUACCAUGGCUACGGACGCCAGUGAAACUCAUUUAGAGGUAACCGUAUCCGAAAGCCCAGGUAAAU
This 488-nucleotide long non-coding RNA is filed under the name Oncorhynchus kisutch (coho salmon). Its description in RNAcentral is "lncRNA (ENSOKIG00005018105.1)". Lineage: Eukaryota; Metazoa; Chordata; Actinopteri; Salmoniformes; Salmonidae. The record is from RNAcentral.